GAUUAGAGUUUGAUCCUGGCUCAGAUUGAACGCUGGCGGCAUGCCUUACACAUGCAAGUCGAACGGCAGCAUGGAGGAGCUUGCUCCUCUGAUGGCGAGUGGCGAACGGGUGAGUAAAGCAUCGGAACGUACCGUGUAGUGGGGGAUAACGUAGCGAAAGUUACGCUAAUACCGCAUACGCACUGAGGUGGAAAGCAGGGGAUCGCAAGACCUUGCGCUAUACGAGCGGCCGAUGUCAGAUUAGCUAGUUGGUAGGGUAAAGGCCCACCAAGGCGACGAUCGAUAGCUGGUCUGAGAGGACGACCAGCCACACUGGAACUGAGACACGGUCCAGACUCCUACGGGAGGCAGCAGUGGGGAAUUUUGGACAAUGGGGGCAACCCUGAUCCAGCCAUUCCGCGUGAGUGAAGAAGGCCUUCGGGUUGUAAAGCUCUUUCGGCAGGAACGAAACGGUGGGGGCUAAUAUCCCCUGCUAAUGACGGUACCUAAGAAGAG
Molecule: ribosomal RNA, 495 nt
Filed under: uncultured bacterium
Lineage: Bacteria
Description: bacterial SSU rRNA
Rfam family: Bacterial small subunit ribosomal RNA
Source: RNAcentral